Molecule: ribosomal RNA, 464 nt
Filed under: uncultured bacterium
Lineage: Bacteria
Description: bacterial SSU rRNA
Rfam family: Bacterial small subunit ribosomal RNA
Source: RNAcentral
CCUACGGGUGGCAGCAGUGGGGAAUUGUUCGCAAUGGGCGCAAGCCUGACGACGCAACGCCGCGUGGAGGAUGAAGGUCUUCGGAUUGUAAACUCCUGUUGCUCGGGACGAAAUGCUUCAACCUAAUACGUUGAAGUUUGACGGUACCGAGUGAGGAAGCCCCGGCUAACUCUGUGCCAGCAGCCGCGGUAAUACAGAGGGGGCAAGCGUUGUUCGGAAUUACUGGGCGUAAAGGGCGCGUAGGUGGCCUGUUAAGUCGAACGUGAAAUCCCUGGGCUCAACCCAGGAACUGCGUCCGAUACUGGCAGGCUUGAAUUCGGGAGAGGGAUGCGGAAUUCCAGGUGUAGCGGUGAAAUGCGUAGAUAUCUGGAGGAACACCGGUGGCGAAGGCGGCAUCCUGGACCGAUAUUGACGCUGAGGCGCGAAAGCCAGGGGAGCAAACGGGAUUAGAUACCCUAGUAGUC